AGCGGCGGACGGGUGAGUUAACGGGGGUAACCUGCCCUGUACACACGGAUAACAUACCGAAAGGUAUGCUAAUACGAGAUAAUAUGCUUUUAUCGCAUGGUAGAAGUAUCAAAGCUCCGGCGGUACAGGAUGGACCCGCGUCUGAUUAGCUAGUUGGUAAGGUAACGGCUUACCAAGGCGACGAUCAGUAGCCGACCUGAGAGGGUGAUCGGCCACAUUGGAACUGAGACACGGUCCAAACUCCUACGGGAGGCAGCAGUGGGGAAUAUUGCACAAUGGGCGAAAGCCUGAUGCAGCAACGCCGCGUGAGCGAUGAAGGCCUUCGGGUCGUAAAGCUCUGCCCUCAAGGAAGAUAAUGACGGUACUUGAGGAGGAAGCCCCGGCUAACUACGUGCCAGCAGCCGCGGUAAUACGUAGGGGGCUAGCGUUAUCCGGAAUUACUGGGCGUAAAGGGUGCGUAGGUGGUUUCUUAAGUCAGAGGUGAAAGGCUACGGCUCAACCGUAGUAAGCUCUUGAAACUGGGAGACUUGAGUGCAGGAGAGGAAAGUGGAAUUCCUAGUGUAGCGGUGAAAUGCGUAGAUAUUAGGAGGAACACCAGUAGCGAAGGCGGCUUUCUGGACUGUAACUGACACUGAGGCACGAAAGCGUGGGGAGCAAACAGGAUUAGAUACCCUGGUAGUCCACGCCGUAAACGAUGAGUACUAGGUGU
RNAcentral lists this ribosomal RNA (709 nucleotides) under uncultured bacterium. Its description in RNAcentral is "bacterial SSU rRNA". It matches the Rfam family "Bacterial small subunit ribosomal RNA", at positions 94 to 823 of the family's 1533-position model. The record is from RNAcentral.